CGUUAAAAAUUUCAUUCAUUUGUACAGUUAAAAACUGGCGUGAUUGAAAAAAAUAAUCGAAAAUGGCAUGUUGUACCACAUGUACCUCAUGCUGAUGUAAGGAGCACUUUUUAUCAAUAGAAAUAGAUAGAAUUUUUAAUA
This 141-nucleotide microRNA precursor is filed under the name Gossypium arboreum. Its description in RNAcentral is "MIR7502 microRNA precursor family". It matches the Rfam family "MIR7502 microRNA precursor family". The record is from Rfam by way of RNAcentral. Lineage: Eukaryota; Viridiplantae; Streptophyta; Magnoliopsida; Malvales; Malvaceae.